RNAcentral lists this ribosomal RNA (390 nucleotides) under uncultured bacterium. Its description in RNAcentral is "bacterial SSU rRNA". It matches the Rfam family "Bacterial small subunit ribosomal RNA", at positions 28 to 417 of the family's 1533-position model. The record is from RNAcentral.
GACGAACGCUGGCGGCGUGCUUAACACAUGCAAGUCGAGCGGUAAGGCCCUUUCGGGGGUACACGAGCGGCGAACGGGUGAGUAACACGUGGGUGACCUGCCCUCAGCUCUGGGAUAAGCCUGGGAAACCGGGUCUAAUACUGGAUAUGACUCCAUGACGCAUGUUGUGGGGUGGAAAGCCUUGUGCGGCUGAGGAUGGGCCCGCGGCCUAUCAGCUUGUUGGUGGGGUGANGGCCUACCAAGGCGACGACGGGUAGCCGGCCUGAGAGGGCGACCGGCCACACUGGGACUGAGACACGGCCCAGACUCCGUACGGGGGCGAGCAGGUGGGGAAUCUUGCGCAAUGGGCGAAAGCCUGACGCAGCGACGCCGCGUGAGGGAUGACGGCCU